Molecule: RNA transcript, 1819 nt
Organism: Callithrix jacchus (white-tufted-ear marmoset)
Lineage: Eukaryota; Metazoa; Chordata; Mammalia; Primates; Cebidae
Gene name: bifunctional purine biosynthesis protein ATIC pseudogene
Source: RefSeq, a predicted model, not a curated record
AAUGAAAUAACUUCUAGUGAAAAUAAAAAUCCAGGUGCUGCCUCCCGCUCACCUCCGACCCAGCACCUGCCGUCAUGGCUCCCGGCCAGCUCGCCUUGUUCAGUGUCUCUGACAAAACCGGCCUUGUGGAAUUUGCAAGAAACCUGAUCUCUCUCGGUUUGAAUCUGGUCGCUUCCGGAGGGACUGCAAAAGCUCUCAGGGAUGCUGGUCUGGCAGUCAGAGAUGUCUCUGAGUUGACAGGAUUUCCUGAAAUGUUGGGGGGACGUGUGAAAACUUUGCAUCCUGCAGUCCAUGCUGGAAUCCUGGCUCGCAAUAUUCCAGAAGAUAAUGCUGACAUGGCCAGACUUGAUUUCAAUCUUAUAAGAGUUGUUGCCUGCAAUCUCUAUCCCUUUGUGAAGACAGUGGCUUCUCCAGGUGUAACUGUUGAGGAAGCUGUGGAGCAAAUUGACAUUGGUGGAGUAACCUUACUGAGAGCUGCAGCCAAAAACCACGCUCGAAUGACAGUGGUGUGUGAACCUGAGGACUACGUGGCAGUGUCCACAGAGAUGCAGAGCUCCGAGAGCAAGGACACCUCCUUGGAGACUAGACGCCAGUUAGCCUUGAAGGCAUUCACUCAUACGGCACAAUACGAUGAAGCAAUUUCAGAUUAUUUCAGGAAACAGUACAGCAAAGACGUAUCUCAGAUGCCCUUGCGGUAUGGAAUGAACCCUCAUCAGACCCCUGCCCAGCUGUACACACUGAAGCCCAAGCUUCCCAUCACAGUUCUAAAUGGAGCCCCUGGAUUUAUAAACCUGUGCGAUGCUUUGAAUGCCUGGCAGCUGGUGAAGGAACUCAAAGAGGCGUUAGGUAUUCCAGCCGCUGCCUCUUUCAAACAUGUCAGCCCAGCAGGUGCCGCUGUUGGAAUUCCACUCAGUGAAGAUGAGGCCAGAGUCUGCAUGGUUUUUGAUCUCUAUAAAACCCUUACACCCAUUUCAACGGCAUACACAAGAGCAAGAGGGGCUGAUAGGAUGUAAUCAUUUGGCGAUUUUGUGGCAUUGUCUGACGUUUGUGAUGUACCAACUGCAAAAAUUAUUUCCAGAGAAGUCUCUGAUGGUAUAAUUGCCCCAGGAUAUGAAGAAGAAGCCUUGACAAUACUUUCCAAAAAGAAAAAUGGAAACUACUGUGUUCUUCAGAUGGACCAGUCUUACAAACCAGAUGAAAAUGAAGUUCGAACGCUCUUCGGUCUUCAUUUAAGCCAGAAGAGAAAUAACGGUGUCAUUGACAAGUCAUUAUUUAGCAAUGUUGUCACCAAGAAUAAAGAUCUGCCAGAGUCUGCCCUCCGAGACCUCAUCGUAGCCACCAUUGCUGUCAAGUACACUCAGUCCAACUCCGCGUGAAGAGAGCAGAAAUCUCCAAUGCCAUCGAUCAAUACGUGACUGGAACCAUUGGCGAGGAUGAAGAUUUGAUAAAGUGGAAGGCCCUGUUUGAGGAAGUCCCUGAAUUACUCACUGAGGCAGAGAAGAAGGAAUGGGUUGACAAACUGAGUGAAGUCUCUGUCAGCUCAGAUGCCUUCUUCCCUUUCAGAGAUAAUGUAGACAGAGCUAAAAGGAGCGGUGUGGCAUACAUUGCGGCUCCCUCCGGCUCUGCUGCUGACAAAGUUGUGAUUGAGGCCUGCGAUGAACUGGGAAUCAUCCUCGCUCAUACGAACCUUCGGCUCUUCCACCACUGAUUUUAUCACACCCUAUUUUAUGGUUUACUUAUAUGUAGGUGAAGAGUCGUGUGUGAAACUUUGAGAAUAACUUUUUAAAAAAAUAAAACAGUACAUCUUAAUCACUGGAUC